GAUGAAGAACGUAGCGAAAUGCGAUAAGUAGUGUGAAUUGCAGAAUUCAGUGAAUCAUCGAAUCUUUGAACGCACAUUGCGCCCCUCGGUAUUCCGUGGGGCACGCCUGUUCGAGCGUCAUUUACACCCUCAAGCGCAGCUUGGUGUUGGGCGUCUGUCCCGCUCUCCGUAGCGCGGACUCGCCUCAAAGUCAUUGGCGGCGGUCGUGCCGGCUCCUCGCGCAGCACAUUUGCGCUUCUCGGAGGCCCGGCGGAUCGGCAUCCAGCAAGCUACUUUUUAUGACUUGACCUCGGAUCAGGUGAGGAUACCCGCUGAACUUAAGCAUACAAUAAGCGGAGGA
RNAcentral lists this unclassified non-coding RNA (340 nucleotides) under soil metagenome. RNAcentral's name for it is "partial contains 5.8S ribosomal RNA, internal transcribed spacer 2, and large subunit ribosomal RNA". The stretch from base 1 to 120 matches the Rfam family "5.8S ribosomal RNA", at positions 35 to 154 of the family's 154-position model. The record is from RNAcentral.